GCUGAAAUGUGGUAAUGCCAUCUGGACUUUGCCUCGUGGGUUGUGAACAGCCUCUGGAACUGAGACGGAGUUGGAAGCCAGCUGAGACCCAUCGUGUUGUCUGGACUGUGGAAAGGACAAACGAUAGGGCUGCCCGGCACAGGAGCUCCGACUAGUCCUCAGCAUCGACAGAACUGUAAGAGGUAAAGCAAAGGCUCUGGGUGAAGGAACCGAGUGCAAGGAGCAGGACAGGAGCCAGACCUGCAUCAGAAGUGCUUCCAGGACCACAGUCUGCUCCUGAUGGGAGUACUCAGCAGCGUGGUCCCCAGAUGCUGCCAUACCUUGGAGUCAUCUGGGAAGCAUAAAACGUGGAAGGCCUGGACCCAACCGCCCUGCAGUGCAGCCCAGCACAGGGAAUUUCAGGAGACUCUGCCCCAGACCAGGUGACAGAGAUGGAGCAGAGACCAAAAGAGUCCCUUACAGCUGUGGAGAUGACCCCAGCAGGUAAGAGC
Long non-coding RNA from Mesocricetus auratus (golden hamster), 491 nucleotides. RefSeq lists it as uncharacterized. NCBI's taxonomy places the organism in Eukaryota, Metazoa, Chordata, Mammalia, Rodentia, Cricetidae. The record is from RefSeq and is a predicted model, not a curated record. The transcript has 3 exons.